RNAcentral lists this ribosomal RNA (253 nucleotides) under uncultured bacterium. Its description in RNAcentral is "partial 16S ribosomal RNA". It matches the Rfam family "Bacterial small subunit ribosomal RNA", at positions 524 to 776 of the family's 1533-position model. The record is from RNAcentral.
UACGUAGGGUGCAAGCGUUAAUCGGAAUUACUGGGCGUAAAGCGUGCGCAGGCGGUUUUGUAAGACAGAGGUGAAAUCCCCGGGCUCAACCUGGGAACUGCCUUUGUGACUGCAAGGCUUGAGUGCGGCAGAGGGGGGUGGAAUUCCACGUGUAGCAGUGAAAUGCGUAGAGAUCGGGAGGAACAUCAGUUGCGAAGGCGGCUCUCUGGACCAGCACUGACACUGAGGCACGAAAGCGUGGGGAGCAAACAGG